AACUAAGUAACCGCGUGCAUUUUUAAUGCAUGAGGAAAGUCCGAGCUCCACAGAGCAGGUUAACGGUUAACAACCGCCGAGGGCAACCUCAGGGAAAGUGCAACAGAAAUAUACCGCCCUUAAACAGGGUAAGGAUGGAAAGGCGAGGUAAGAGCUCACCGGCAUGCGAGAGAUCGCAUGGCCCUGCAAACCCUAACCGGAGCAACACCGUUUGGUGAAAUAUGCGUUUGCUCGACGCUUUAUAAAGGUGGCAACGAGUCACUGCGGUAACGCUUGACCCAGAUAGAUGGUUACUCACGACAGAAUUCGGCUUAUCGGUUUACUU
This 325-nucleotide RNase P RNA is filed under the name human gut metagenome. RNAcentral describes it as "Bacterial RNase P class A". It matches the Rfam family "Bacterial RNase P class A". From Rfam's summary of the family: Ribonuclease P (RNase P) is a ubiquitous endoribonuclease, found in archaea, bacteria and eukarya as well as chloroplasts and mitochondria. The record is from RNAcentral.